GUCGAGCGGUAAGGCCCUUCGGGGUACACGAGCGGCGAACGGGUGAGUAACACGUGGGUGAUCUGCCUCGCACUUCGGGAUAAGCCUGGGAAACUGGGUCUAAUACCGGAUAUGACUUGCUGUCGCAUGGCGGUGGGUGGAAAGAUUUAUCGGUGCGAGAUGGGCCCGCGGCCUAUCAGCUUGUUGGUGGGGUAAUGGCCUACCAAGGCGACGACGGGUAGCCGGCCUGAGAGGGCGACCGGCCACACUGGGACUGAGACACGGCCCAGACUCCUACGGGAGGCAGCAGUGGGGAAUAUUGCACAAUGGGCGAAAGCCUGAUGCAGCGACGCCGCGUGAGGGAUGACGGCCUUCGGGUUGUAAACCUCUUUCGACAGGGACGAAGCGCAAGUGACGGUACCUGUAGAAGAAGCACCGGCCAACUACGUGCCAGCAGCCGCGGUAAUACGUAGGGUGCGAGCGUUGUCCGGAAUUACUGGGCGUAAAGAGCUUGUAGGCGGUUUGUCGCGUCGUCUGUGAAAACUCACAGCUCAACUGUGAGCUUGCAGGCGAUACGGGCAGACUUGAGUACUGCAGGGGAGACUGGAAUUCCUGGUGUAGCGGUGAAAUGCGCAGAUAUCAGGAGGAACACCGGUGGCGAAGGCGGGUCUCUGGGCAGUAACUGACGCUGAGAAGCGAAAGCGUGGGUAGCGAACAGGAUUAGAUACCCUGGUAGUCCACGCCGUAAACGGUGGGCGCUAGGUGUGGGUUUCCUUCCACGGGAUCCGUGCCGUAGCUAACGCAUUAAGCGCCCCGCCUGGGGAGUACGGCCGCAAGGCUAAAACUCAAAGGAAUUGACGGGGGCCCGCACAAGCGGCGGAGCAUGUGGAUUAAUUCGAUGCAACGCGAAGAACCUUACCUGGGUUUGACAUACACCGGAAACCUGCAGAGAUGUAGGCCCCCUUGUGGUCGGUGUACAGGUGGUGCAUGGCUGUCGUCAGCUCGUGUCGUGAGAUGUUGGGUUAAGUCCCGCAACGAGCGCAACCCUUGUCCUGUGUUGCCAGCGCGUAAUGGCGGGGACUCGCAGGAGACUGCCGGGGUCAACUCGGAGGAAGGUGGGGACGACGUCAAGUCAUCAUGCCCCUUAUGUCCAGGGCUUCACACAUGCUACAAUGGCCGGUACAGAGGGCUGCGAUACCGUGAGGUGGAGCGAAUCCCUUAAAGCCGGUCUCAGUUCGGAUCGGGGUCUGCAACUCGACCCCGUGAAGUUGGAGUCGCUAGUAAUCGCAGAUCAGCAACGCUGCGGUGAAUACGUUCCCGGGCCUUGUACACACCGCCCGUCACGUCAUGAAAGUCGGUAACACCCGAAGCCGGUGGCCUAACCCCUUGUGGGAGGGAGCCGUCG
Molecule: ribosomal RNA, 1384 nt
Filed under: Nocardia sp. I_Gauze_W_10_2
Lineage: Bacteria; Bacillati; Actinomycetota; Actinomycetes; Mycobacteriales; Nocardiaceae
Description: bacterial SSU rRNA
Rfam family: Bacterial small subunit ribosomal RNA
Source: RNAcentral